AUUCUUAAAAUUAAAUCAAAAUUAGUGAUAUUGCUAAACUUCUUAACUAGGAAGUUAAGAGCCCAUAAGAGUCGUUGACGUGUUCAAUAAUUGUUGGGUGAUGCAUUUAAUAUAAAACAAAAAAAAAUUCUUCUUCUUCAGUUCCGUCUCUUUCUUGGGACUCCGACAACGAAAGCAAACCCAGAAGGUACAAUCCGUCAAACUGAGAGGAGAUAUGAGUCAGAAAUUUAUCUCUCGUCGUCGUGUUCAUCAUCGCUACCGACUCUGACACCAUCAACGAUUUCAGUUCAUCAAAUCAGAACCAUGUCGGUUCACCAAAUCAGAGAUUCAAGUGGCCAAAAUUGGACAGUUUGGUUCAAUGAUGCUCCAAUCUCUUUAUCUGGUAAGAAUAUCUAAGAAUCUCUCUAAUUUCAUUUGUAAUUGAGUUUUAUGUUAGCAAAAUUAAAGUUCAACGAAUUGGAAACUGAUGUUAGCAAAAUUAGGGUUCUAUGAUGUUAGCAGAGGUUCAAGUGGCCUAAUUUGAGGUUUUUUUGUUUGAAUAUGAAUCUGAGUUUUUGAUAAGGUCCAUGAUUUGAUCUGUUCUACUGUUUUUGUUGAGGUUUAUUGGAGAAUUUGUAACAAAUUUAAGAGAUAUUGAAACAGAGACCUUCUACUGAGGUCAUACAAGGCUGCAUAUAUAGAUGAAGCUGUGAGAUGCAAAUUUGGACUGCAUAAAUGGCAAGUUUUGAGAGUGUGUAUCAAGUUAACUUGAGAGUAAAAAUAUUUUGUACAUAUGAUUUUGAUUUUCAAAUUUUCAGUUUUAAGAACUCUACCAUUGGAGUUUGUUUUUUUUAAAACAUUCAUGAGUUUCUUAGAAUUUGAUUUAGCUAUAUUUUUAUCAUAAAUUUGGUUAAAACUC
Long non-coding RNA from Camelina sativa (false flax), 898 nucleotides. RefSeq lists it as uncharacterized. Lineage: Eukaryota; Viridiplantae; Streptophyta; Magnoliopsida; Brassicales; Brassicaceae. The record is from RefSeq and is a predicted model, not a curated record.